UAGUAACAACAUAUUUUAAUGAGUCAUAUACUAUUGAAACAGAGAAAACAGUCCAGCACGCACUGAACUCAAUUUUGAUGUAUACAGAGUUGACGAUCAUUUUAAACUUGACGAAACUCUAGCCAGGGUCUUCUGAGCCUUCUCAAUUCAGCCUUAACUUUGGUCUAUAAAAACUUGAAAAAGACAGGAACAUAGUUGGUAACAGUUCAAGUCUACAUCUCUAGAACGAACGACCCAGUCUCCCUUAAAGUGAACUGUCUGAGAAAACUGAAACCUGCCUGUCUUCAUGGUUCCUAUAACAAAAAUACCAUGGCCUUACACAACACUUAUUUCUCACAUUUCCACAGAUUGGAAAGUCCACAAUAAAGGUGCCAGCCAGUUUGGUCUGUAAGGACCCAUUUUCUGAUUUAUAGAGCAUGGUCUUCUUGCUGUGCCCUCACAUGGCAGAAGAGGCAAGAAAGCUCUCUGGAGUCUCUUUUAUGAGGUCACUAAGGCCAUUCAUGAGUUCAUCACUCAUGAUCUAAUCAACCCCCAAAGACUUCCUCUCCCAAUAUCAUCACAUUGGGGUUUAAGAUUUCAACAUAUAACUUAUUUAUCUGGCACUGGAACUCAAAUCCAGAUUGGAACCCUUAUCUGGCCCUUGGACAAAACAGUCAAUCCUUUCUGCAUGCGUAGAAACCUUUGUCUGAUCUUCAGUUGACUUACUUUUUUGGGUAUUUGGUGGCGAGUUCAACUUCUGGCCUAACACUGUGUAGAAAUUUGCACUGAGGCAUGGCGAGGACAUAUUUUCUUCCUAUGUUUCUGGCUGUAGUCUCUAAGGCUGGGUUAUAAUUCCAGGCUGCUUUUGAAAGACAUCUCCUGGGCUGGCUGUUUAUCUUCCUGGCUCCCUGUUUUCAGUGGGAAUUCACUUCCUAACUCCUGUGCUGGAAUGUUCACUCUGGCUUCUUGUGAGACCUCUUCAUUCUAUUUGAACUUACUCUUCCCACAGGAACUCCACAGUUAAACCCCUUUUGGGUUCCUACUCUCUAUAUAUACUAUGACACUAACCAUGUCUGCUUCUAUUUUAGGCAAAAUGACUUUACUGUGGAUAAUUCGGAACUGCAAUGGUUUAUUUGAAAAUCUUAAGAUCUGCCUAAAGUGGCUCUUAUAGGACUGCUCCCUUCCCAUUUCCUUCUUUUUUCCUUCUUUCUUUUACCAUCUUAACUUUUUCCAUUGAACUCCCCUGACACUUUGAUAUGCACCUCUUUUCCAUUAAACACCCCUGACUUUUGAUAUAUACCCAUCCUUUUACCCCUACCAGAUGUUUCACUUAC
This 1313-nucleotide long non-coding RNA is filed under the name Homo sapiens (human). Its description in RNAcentral is "HSALNT0299683". Lineage: Eukaryota; Metazoa; Chordata; Mammalia; Primates; Hominidae. The record is from RNAcentral.